GGGGUUGUGGCUCAGUGGUAGAGCACUUGCCUAGCAUGUGUGAGGCCCUGGGUUCUACUCUCAGCACCA
Molecule: transfer RNA, 69 nt
Filed under: Ictidomys tridecemlineatus (thirteen-lined ground squirrel)
Lineage: Eukaryota; Metazoa; Chordata; Mammalia; Rodentia; Sciuridae
Description: Spermophilus tridecemlineatus (thirteen-lined ground squirrel) tRNA
Rfam family: tRNA
About the family: Transfer RNA (tRNA) molecules are approximately 80 nucleotides in length.
Source: Rfam by way of RNAcentral